AGAGUUUGAUCAUGGCUCAGGAUGAACGCUGGCGGCGUGCCUAACACAUGCAAGUCGAACGGAGUUUAACGCUGAUGAAGCUUCGGCAGAAUCUUGUUAAACUUAGUGGCGGACGGGUGAGUAACGCGUGGGUAACCUGCCUCAUACAGGGGGAUAGCAGUUGGAAACGACUGAUAACACCGCAUAAGCGCACAGGAUCGCAUGAUCUAGUGUGAAAAUAUUUAUAGGUAUGAGAUGGACCCGCGUCUGAUUAGCUAGUUGGUGAGGUAACGGCCCACCAAGGCGACGAUCAGUAGCCGGCCUGAGAGGGCGGACGGCCACAUUGGGACUGAGACACGGCCCAAACUCCUACGGGAGGCAGCAGUGGGGGAUAUUGCACAAUGGGCGAAAGCCUGAUGCAGCGACGCCGCGUGAGUGAAGAAGUAUUUCGGUAUGUAAAGCUCUAUCAGCAGGGAAGAAAGGCCUCGAAAGAGGAGAUGACGGUACCUGAGUAAGAAGCCCCGGCUAACUACGUGCCAGCAGCCGCGGUAAUACGUAGGGGGCAAGCGUUAUCCGGAUUUACUGGGUGUAAAGGGAGCGUAGACGGUGUAUCAAGUCUGAAGUGAAACCCCACGGCUCAACCGUGGGCUUGCUUUGGAAACUGGUAGACUAGAGUACUGGAGAGGUAAGCGGAAUUCCUGGUGUAGUAGUGAAAUGCGUAGAUAUCAGGAAGAACAUCAGUGGCGAAGGCGGCUUACUGGACAGCAACUGACGUUGAGGCUCGAAGGCGUGGGGAGCAAACAGGAUUAGAUACCCUGGUAGUCCACGCAGUAAACGAUGAAUACUAGGUGUUGGGAGACAUAGUCUUUCAGUGCCGGCGCUAACGCAAUAAGUAUUCCACCUGGGGAGUACGUUCGCAAGAAUGAAACUCAAAGGAAUUGACGGGGA
RNAcentral lists this ribosomal RNA (927 nucleotides) under uncultured rumen bacterium. Its description in RNAcentral is "bacterial SSU rRNA". It matches the Rfam family "Bacterial small subunit ribosomal RNA", at positions 8 to 919 of the family's 1533-position model. The record is from RNAcentral.